GAAGCCUGCCAGGCCGCCGCUGGUGCAAGCGUGGAAACACCGCACUGGAGGAACGUCCGGACUGCACAGGACAGCGCAGGAGGUAACACCUCUCCACCGAAAGCCGCAAGGACCAAGGUGAGGAUCAGAGCAACAGAGACGAGCCGGUUCAGUCCGGGUGAAACGGGCAAUCUCUGCGCGCAGCAAUACCAAGUAGGCCAGCGUUGAUGUGGUUCCGCAGAGCUGGCGGGUAGGUAGCACCGAGCCGGUGGGGUGACCCCCGGCCCAGAUGAAUGGCGGUCACGCGACGGGCAACCGUCGCGCACAGAAUCCGGCGUAUCGGCAGGCUUCCCUU
RNAcentral lists this RNase P RNA (334 nucleotides) under Ramlibacter sp. Its description in RNAcentral is "RNase P RNA component class A". It matches the Rfam family "Bacterial RNase P class A". From Rfam's summary of the family: Ribonuclease P (RNase P) is a ubiquitous endoribonuclease, found in archaea, bacteria and eukarya as well as chloroplasts and mitochondria. Lineage: Bacteria; Pseudomonadati; Pseudomonadota; Betaproteobacteria; Burkholderiales; Comamonadaceae. The record is from RNAcentral. RNAcentral also lists the same sequence under 2 other names.